Molecule: ribosomal RNA, 1553 nt
Filed under: Salmonella enterica
Lineage: Bacteria; Pseudomonadati; Pseudomonadota; Gammaproteobacteria; Enterobacterales; Enterobacteriaceae
Description: bacterial SSU rRNA
Rfam family: Bacterial small subunit ribosomal RNA
Source: RNAcentral
AAAUUGAAGAGUUUGAUCAUGGCUCAGAUUGAACGCUGGCGGCAGGCCUAACACAUGCAAGUCGAACGGUAACAGGAAGCAGCUUGCUGCUUUGCUGACGAGUGGCGGACGGGUGAGUAAUGUCUGGGAAACUGCCUGAUGGAGGGGGAUAACUACUGGAAACGGUGGCUAAUACCGCAUAACGUCGCAAGACCAAAGAGGGGGACCUUCGGGCCUCUUGCCAUCAGAUGUGCCCAGAUGGGAUUAGCUUGUUGGUGAGGUAACGGCUCACCAAGGCGACGAUCCCUAGCUGGUCUGAGAGGAUGACCAGCCACACUGGAACUGAGACACGGUCCAGACUCCUACGGGAGGCAGCAGUGGGGAAUAUUGCACAAUGGGCGCAAGCCUGAUGCAGCCAUGCCGCGUGUAUGAAGAAGGCCUUCGGGUUGUAAAGUACUUUCAGCGGGGAGGAAGGUGUUGCGGUUAAUAACCGCAGCAAUUGACGUUACCCGCAGAAGAAGCACCGGCUAACUCCGUGCCAGCAGCCGCGGUAAUACGGAGGGUGCAAGCGUUAAUCGGAAUUACUGGGCGUAAAGCGCACGCAGGCGGUCUGUCAAGUCGGAUGUGAAAUCCCCGGGCUCAACCUGGGAACUGCAUUCGAAACUGGCAGGCUUGAGUCUUGUAGAGGGGGGUAGAAUUCCAGGUGUAGCGGUGAAAUGCGUAGAGAUCUGGAGGAAUACCGGUGGCGAAGGCGGCCCCCUGGACAAAGACUGACGCUCAGGUGCGAAAGCGUGGGGAGCAAACAGGAUUAGAUACCCUGGUAGUCCACGCCGUAAACGAUGUCUACUUGGAGGUUGUGCCCUUGAGGCGUGGCUUCCGGAGCUAACGCGUUAAGUAGACCGCCUGGGGAGUACGGCCGCAAGGUUAAAACUCAAAUGAAUUGACGGGGGCCCGCACAAGCGGUGGAGCAUGUGGUUUAAUUCGAUGCAACGCGAAGAACCUUACCUGGUCUUGACAUCCACAGAACUUUCCAGAGAUGGAUUGGUGCCUUCGGGAACUGUGAGACAGGUGCUGCAUGGCUGUCGUCAGCUCGUGUUGUGAAAUGUUGGGUUAAGUCCCGCAACGAGCGCAACCCUUAUCCUUUGUUGCCAGCGAUUAGGUCGGGAACUCAAAGGAGACUGCCAGUGAUAAACUGGAGGAAGGUGGGGAUGACGUCAAGUCAUCAUGGCCCUUACGACCGUGGCUACACACGUGCUACAAUGGCGCAUACAAAGAGAAGCGACCUCGCGAGAGCAAGCGGACCUCAUAAAGUGCGUCGUAGUCCGGAUUGAGUCUGCAACUCGACUCCAUGAAGUCGGAAUCGCUAGUAAUCGUGGAUCAGAAUGCCACGGUGAAUACGUUCCCGGGCCUUGUACACACCGCCCGUCACACCAUGGGAGUGGGUUGCAAAAGAAGUAGGUAGCUUAACCUUCGGGAGGGCGCUUACCACUUUGUGAUUCAUGACUGGGGUGAAGUCGUAACAAGGUAACCGUAGGGGAACCUGCGGUUGGAUCACCUCCUUACCUUAAAGAAGC